Ricinus communis (castor bean) is the source of this 2815-nucleotide RNA transcript. It is a transcript of the gene named armadillo repeat-containing protein 7, with no coding region annotated. The transcript has 11 exons. The record is from RefSeq and is a predicted model, not a curated record. Lineage: Eukaryota; Viridiplantae; Streptophyta; Magnoliopsida; Malpighiales; Euphorbiaceae.
UUCCCUCUGUCAAUUCGUCGUUAUUUUUGUUUUUUUUUUUUUUUAUGAAAGUAUCGCAUUUCUUUGGGGCAAUUAAAUUAGGGAUUUUGAAUUCUCGUAGAACUUACAGGGUUAUGGCAUCUGAUGGAUCUUUAAGCGAUUGAACAUUUCUAGUUGGUAAUUGUGUAAGGGAUCAUUGUUCAUUGUCAUUUCUGCGUUAAAUGAAUGUGUUACUGUCAAGUCGUUUAAGAUUUGAAAUGAUAGUUUUGGGUUAUUCUUUGGCUUAACAGGAAAUGCUACUAACUUGAAAUUCAUUUUCCACUCUCUUUUACUUGUUGUUUCAUUAUUAGCAUUCUCCUUUACGAUUUUGCUUAAUGAAUUUGACUUUAUGUAUCUGGUAGUAGCCUUUUAUAAACUUCAAUGCUCAACGAUUCAUUUGAUGGCAACAAUAUUUUUAUUUUCAAGUCUUGAUGGUUUAAAAAUAAAAUUGGACAAAAUUUAUAUUUUGAGGUUAUAUUUGCAAAUUAUAUUUUAAUUAUUUGAAUAUUAUAAGAAUGUUUUAAUAUAUAAAUUAUUUAUUGGACAAAAUUUUGUAAUUUUAAGGAUUCGGAGCUGAGUUGUGUUGCUCAUUUUCUAUUUCUUAAGUAGCUAUUUACGAGCACACAACAUCAUUAUAAAUACAAAAUUAAACUGUACUUUUAUCAAAAAGCUGCCCUGGUGUAUAAUUUUUGUUCUUACUGUAGGUAUCUUGCUUAACCAGGAAAAAUAUAUUGGGAAUAGGCAUGCUUGCAAGAAUUUCCUUGUUCUUACUGUGCCAUUACGAAACUCAAGAAGCUCCCUUAAUCAUAAUCGACUCUGUGUUUUCUCUUUUCUCUCCUUUGAUUAAAUCAUACACUCUUCUCUUCUUUGUCUCUGUAUCACCACCAUCUUCGAAUUCCUGUCUUCCAGUUGAAACCCUAGGAAGGGCUUUUAAGCAAUCUUCUGUUUUCUUUUUCCUGUUUUCUCUGCCAUAACGCCGUCAGUAUACGGUGCUCGAUUGACAACAUUCGAAGAUUCUGAGAAGGAGAGCGAGUAUGGUUUUGUUCGUAAGUUCAGAACAAACAUCUGAGAUUGCAAUAGUGAAGUCCAAGAUGUGAAAGUUGCAAGCAUUAGCACACAAGGGAUAUCCAGGGCUUAGGCAUAAGGUGCAAGCUUGUGCUUGAAGGAUCUGAGAAGAAGAAAGAAUUGGAAAAUAUCUGAGGUUCAUAUAGUUGAGUUUUGCAAUGUUAAGCAUUUCAGGGUUCGUAUUUCCCAAAUAAUUUUCUGCCGCAAGAAGAGAUGUUUACAAACAAUCAGAGACAAGAAGAAAGAAUUGGAAAAUAUGGAACCCCAAGGCUCCAAUACCUUCAGGAAUUGGUGAGCCAAUUUCAGAAUGCAAGUGAUGAAGAAUAUCUUUUAUUUAUAAUUCCAGGUGGACUCACUCAACACACUGAAACGAAAGAGCGAAUCGUUGCUAAUUUGGCAAACUUUGCUUAUGAUCCUUACAAUUAUGUAUUCUUACGCCAGCUCAAUGUUUUGGAACUCUUCCUAGAUUGCAUAACCGAACCAAAUGAGAAGCUUGUGGAAUUUGGGAUUGGAGGUGUAUGUAAUUCUUGUGCUGAUCCAGCAAAUGCUGCGAUUAUCACGCAGAGUGGUGGAAUACCCCUUAUUAUCCAAUGUUUGUCAAGCCCAGUUCAAAACACAGUCAACUAUGCUAUUGGAGCUCUUUAUUAUCUUUGCAACUCAUCUAACAAGGAAGAGAUUCUGAGGCCGGAAGUUAUAGAUGUCAUCCAGAGAUAUGCUGCAGCAGAAGCAGUAAAUCAGCGUCAAUGAUUGUGUCGGUGGUCGUGGGGCAAUAACUCCAGAAUAAUCUGAGUGAUCCUCCCUGCUACGCACUCACUGUCUCCUGUUACUACAAAUUUACUCUUAUGGUUCCAUGCUCUUAAAUGCAAUAAGUGCUACUGCAGCUUAUCUAACUCUUCUCCAAUUAUAGUCUCAACCAAUGCUUCUGCUGAAUUCGUUAUGAUCAAAUUAAUGCUUUUGCUGCCAAAUCCGCUACGUUUGCCAUGUGUGUCACCUCCAAAUCAUAAUCCUUUUCUAGCUUCUUUGCAUUGCCUGAUAUACGAACUCUAGUAUAGAUAAUGUUAGGAUUAGCUAGUGCUUGAUAAAGCUGGAAGGUAGGGCAGCAUUUUCGGAUGCAGUAUUGGAAAGUCAACCGCCAUUCUAUAUCGAAGCUGACAAUGUUUUGGUAAUGAUGGCAUGGAGCUUCAAGAUGUUCUUGGAUCCAUCUGUCAGCUACUGCUCUUGAGCAAGUAACGGUGGUGCGAACUAGCCGGAUGUGGAUGGUGUGAUCUUGUAUGUUUUCUGGGUUUUACCCCGACCGUGAAGUUCUUCAAUGGUUACUCCCAUUUUUCAUUAUGGAAUGAGAAAUAGAGGAAAUGGCUGAGGUUUUGUAAAAAAUAAGUAAUUGUCCAUGAAAAAGAAAAGAGAAUCAGGGGAUUUCAGUAAUGGUAGAAAAGAUGUCACUAAGGACAAUAAGACAUGAAAAUUGCAAUAAUAGACCUAAGGAAAGCAGAUUCUGUUGGUGGAAAGUUGCAACAACAAUAAAAUCUUUAAUUAUUUAAGGAAAAUUAUUGAAUUUCUCAAUAUUUUAUUGUAACGAAUGAAAGGGGGAAUGAAGUCGAGUUAAUACGAUGAACUAAAUGAAUUCUGCAUAUGAACUUUGUACUGCGCGCAUCCUUUAGAUGAGCUAUAAAAAGUCACAUAAUAUAGGAGGGUAUAGGAGGGAAUGAAGAAAUAAAAAAAUGAAUAUAAAAUA